GAUGAACGCUGGCGGCGUGCCUAAUACAUGCAAGUCGAGCGAACGGACGAGAAGCUUGCUUCUCUGAUGUUAGCGGCGGACGUGUGAGUAACACGUGGAUAACCUACCUAUAAGACUGGGAUAACUUCGGGAAACCGGAGCUAAUACCGGAUAAUAUUUUGAACCGCAUGGUUCAAAAGUGAAAGACGGUCUUGCUGUCACUUAUAGAUGGAUCCGCGCUGCAUUAGCUAGUUGGUAAGGUAACGGCUUACCAAGGCAACGAUGCAUAGCCGACCUGAGAGGGUGAUCGGCCACACUGGAACUGAGACACGGUCCAGACUCCUACGGGAGGCAGCAGUAGGGAAUCUUCCGCAAAGGGCGAAAGCCUGACGGAGCAACGCCGCGUGAGUGAUGAAGGUCUUCGGAUCGUAAAACUCUGUUAUUAGGGAAGAACAUAUGUGUAAGUAACUGUGCACAUCUUGACGGUACCUAAUCAGAAAGCCACGGCUAACUACGUG
This 497-nucleotide ribosomal RNA is filed under the name uncultured bacterium. Its description in RNAcentral is "partial 16S ribosomal RNA". It matches the Rfam family "Bacterial small subunit ribosomal RNA", at positions 28 to 507 of the family's 1533-position model. The record is from RNAcentral.